RNAcentral lists this ribosomal RNA (445 nucleotides) under uncultured bacterium. RNAcentral's name for it is "partial 16S ribosomal RNA". It matches the Rfam family "Bacterial small subunit ribosomal RNA", at positions 354 to 796 of the family's 1533-position model. The record is from RNAcentral.
GUGAGGAAUAUUGCGCAAUGGAGGCAACUCUGACGCAGCCAUGCCGCGUGCAGGAAGAAGGCGCUACGCGUUGUAAACUGCUUUUAACCGGGAAGAAACCCCAGGACGUGUCCUGGGUUGACGGUACCGGAGGAAUAAGCACCGGCUAACUUCGUGCCAGCAGCCGCGGUAAUACGAAGGGUGCAAGCGUUAUCCGGAUUCAUUGGGUUUAAAGGGUGCGUAGGCGGAGCGUUAAGUCAGGGGUGAAAUCCUGCAGCUUAACUGUAGACUUGCCAUUGAUACUGUCGCUCUUGAGUGCGCUUGAAGUGGGCGGAAUGUGCCGUGUAGCGGUGAAAUGCUUAGAUAUGGCACAGAACACCAAUUGCGAAGGCAGCUCACUAAGGCGAUACUGACGCUGAGGCACGAAAGCGUGGGGAUCGAACAGGAUUAGAUACCCUUGUAGUCC